UACGUAGGGGGCAAGCGUUGUCCGGAUUUAUUGGGCGUAAAGAGCGUGUAGGCGGCCUGAAAGGUCAGCUGUGAAAACUCGAGGCUCAACCUCGAGACGUCGGUUGAAACCAUCUGGCUAGAGUCCGGAAGAGGAGAGUGGAAUUCCCGGUGUAGCGGUGAAAUGCGCAGAUAUCAGGAGGAACACCGGUGGCGAAGGCGGUUCUCUGGGCAUUACCUGACGCUGAGGAGCGAAAGUGUGGGGAGCGAACAGG
RNAcentral lists this ribosomal RNA (253 nucleotides) under uncultured bacterium. RNAcentral describes it as "partial 16S ribosomal RNA". It matches the Rfam family "Bacterial small subunit ribosomal RNA", at positions 524 to 776 of the family's 1533-position model. The record is from RNAcentral.